RNAcentral lists this ribosomal RNA (252 nucleotides) under uncultured bacterium. Its description in RNAcentral is "partial 16S ribosomal RNA". It matches the Rfam family "Bacterial small subunit ribosomal RNA", at positions 524 to 775 of the family's 1533-position model. The record is from RNAcentral.
UACGAAGGGGGCUAGCGUUGCUCGGAUUGACUGGGCGUAAAGGGCGCGUAGGCGGUUCGUACAGUCAGACGUGAAAUCCUGGGCUCAACCUGGGGGCUGCGUUUGAUACGUGCGGACUUGAGUGCGGAAGAGGGUCGUGGAAUUCCCAGUGUAGAGGUGAAAUUCGUAGAUAUUGGGAAGAACACCGGUGGCGAAGGCGGCGACCUGGUCCGAUACUGACGCUGAGGCGCCGAAAGCGUGGGGAGCAAACAG